AAGUCGUAACAAGGUUUCCGUAGGUGAACCUGCGGAAGGAUCAUUAAUGAUGUUUAUUUUUCUAUGUUGGGAAAUUGUCUGCUGUUGUGGGGAUAUUUUUGUCCCCGCGCUAGUCAACGUGAUCUUUAUUCUAGUCUGACUUUUAUGUAAAUAAUAAAAGACAACUUUUAGCAACGGAUCUCUUGGCUCUC
RNAcentral lists this unclassified non-coding RNA (191 nucleotides) under fungal sp. Its description in RNAcentral is "partial internal transcribed spacer region". The stretch from base 1 to 46 matches the Rfam family "Eukaryotic small subunit ribosomal RNA", at positions 1786 to 1831 of the family's 1831-position model. Lineage: Eukaryota; Fungi. The record is from RNAcentral.